GUUGUGCGACUGAGAGUGUAUUUUUUGGUAUGAAAAGUCAAAAAUACCCUCUGAAUUUCUUAUAUAAAUAAAGAUAAAUCUAAUUGGUGCUUAAUAUAAAUAAUUCAAAUUUUUGGAUCAAAUUGCAAUUUUCAAAAUUUCUUAAAACAAACAAAAGAAUACAGUAAAAAAAAAAAAAAAAAUCUGAAGGAAUACGUCUUCCCCAAAUUUCUUCCAUCGCCUCCACUCUGCUCGCCGGUGACACCGUCCGUAGCAGAGGUUAAUUCCUAUUCACCUUCAAGACUAUCUCCUCCUCCAUCGCCAAUUUCUCUUUGCCACCACAGAGUUCUUGAAGAACCCCAGCCCUCCGGCAUUCAUUGAUAAUGGAGGAUCUUCAGCCCUUGCGUGCUUCAACCACGGUUUUCUGGCAAGAACGACGACUACGGGUAAGUUCUUCCGGCGAGAUUUAAGGGUGACGGCUGGGCCAAGGUAGGUUCGACGGGGGCAGAUGUUUUCCGGCCAAAUCUUCCGGCGAGUUCUAAAGGUGGGGAUUUGGUUCGAAGUAGAUUUGAUAGGAGAAAGUGUUUUCCGGACAAAUUGAACGGAAACACUUUUGAUUCCGGCGAGUUGUGAGGCAUUAAUAUUGAAAAAUAUUAAGAAUCAAAGAGGAUAAAUGUCGUCUUCUUCUUAGAGAUUUAAAUGAAGAAUUAUCAUCUUAUUUUUCAUUCUUUUGCAGCCCCUUCUUUUUUCUUUCUUUUUCCUUUUUUUU
RNAcentral lists this long non-coding RNA (748 nucleotides) under Erythranthe guttata (spotted monkey flower). RNAcentral's name for it is "long non-coding RNA (EGUT_LNC003133)". Lineage: Eukaryota; Viridiplantae; Streptophyta; Magnoliopsida; Lamiales; Phrymaceae. The record is from RNAcentral.